Molecule: non-coding RNA, 72 nt
Organism: Aedes aegypti (yellow fever mosquito)
Lineage: Eukaryota; Metazoa; Arthropoda; Insecta; Diptera; Culicidae
Source: Rfam
GGCUCGGUAGCUUAGUUGGUAAAGCGCUCGUCUAGCUUACAAGAGUCCUGGCUUCGAUUCACAGCCGAGCGC